UGGGGAAUAUUGCACAAUGGGGGAAACCCUGAUGCAGCGACGCCGCGUGAGCGAAGAAGUAUUUCGGUAUGUAAAGCUCUAUCAGCAGGGAAGAUAAUGACGGUACCUGACUAAGAAGCCCCGGCUAACUACGUGCCAGCAGCCGCGGUAAUACGUAGGGGGCAAGCGUUAUCCGGAUUUUACUGGGUGUAAAGGGAGCGUAGACGGCAUGGCAAGUCUGAAGUGAAAGCCCGGGGCUCAACCCCGGGACUGCUUUGGAAACUGUCAGGCUAGAGUGCCGGAGAGGUAAGCGGAAUUCCCAGUGUAGCGGUGAAAUGCGUAGAUAUUGGGAGGAACACCAGUGGCGAAGGCGGCUUACUGGACGGUAACUGACGUUGAGGCUCGAAAGCGUGGGGAGCAAACAGGAUUAGAUACC
RNAcentral lists this ribosomal RNA (415 nucleotides) under uncultured bacterium. RNAcentral describes it as "bacterial SSU rRNA". It matches the Rfam family "Bacterial small subunit ribosomal RNA", at positions 355 to 786 of the family's 1533-position model. The record is from RNAcentral.